Olea europaea var. sylvestris is the source of this 1339-nucleotide long non-coding RNA. RefSeq lists it as uncharacterized. The transcript has 2 exons. The record is from RefSeq and is a predicted model, not a curated record. Lineage: Eukaryota; Viridiplantae; Streptophyta; Magnoliopsida; Lamiales; Oleaceae.
GUUCGACAUUUUAAACUUCUGUAACCACUCAAAGACAUGGACCUAAAUUUAGUGACCAUUGGAACAAUUAACUCUCAAUGAUGGCCUUCUAGAGAUUGUUGGUUUUAAAAAUGCUUGGCAUAGACUGGUCCUGCUUGCUCCUAAUGGACAUGUGACACAUCUUGCAUAGGUUAGAAUCAAGCAGAAAGUUGGGAGAAACUUAGGGGGUGUUCUUUUCGUAUUUCAGUUUUAUAGUUUUGAAUUUUGUCUUUUAAGUGUUUGUUUUGAAAUUAUUGAAAAUGCGUUAUUUUUGUUAGUCCGAAAAACUAUUUCUCAAAACAAAAAAAUAAAAAACAUGUUUCCUUUGAAAUUUUGAGAAUCAUCACGACACCACCAUCAAGCAUCAAGCACCGCCAAAAUCAACCAAAAUCAACUCCACUGCCACUACCAUGAACCAUCAACCACUACCACCACCGUCCACAACCACCAACAAAUUGAAUGCAAGAAAAAAAAAAACCACUUGUCACCACCGUCCACAACCACCAACACCUUCAAUUGCAAGAAAAAAAACAACUAGCAAUACAGUCAAAAUUGGUUCAUGAACUGUCUGGCUUGAUUUAGCCUAUUGGAUCGAAAUUGGUGAUGAUCCAUGGGUUCAUUUGGUUCCCUUCGUAGCCAGCGUCCAGAAGAGAGAAGGCAGAGCUUAUCGGAAAGAGAAGACACAGAAUACAUUUUGAGUUUCACAAGGGUGCCGCUGAUCACAACUUCACGAGGAUUGAUGGGGAACCAUGGUAACAACCACUUCCUGUGGAUGGUGACACUGUUGUCGUACAGAUUUCUCACCUCGGCCAGGUGAAGAUGCUUGCUAUCAAGUCUGCAGAUCCAAAAGUGGUCACGACCCCUCGUCUCCCAACAUUCAGGAUGUAGAUGAAAGGGAUAGCGACUAUGAACACGAGUAUGUAGAGGAAGAAUGGGGAAAAUUUGGUGCAGCAGAUAUAUUCAAGAUUCCAGAUGAGGUCGACAUCUCUCAUCCCAGUUAAAUCUCUUAUUGGUUGAAGUUAUUAAAAUAACUAAACUUCAACACUUAUUAGUUGGUAAUAAUCUCGUUUCAGCUAAAUCAUAAGGUUAAUUCAUUUGUUGUUUGCAAAAAUUUGUAUUAGGCAACAUUAAGGGCGUGAUGAAUUUUGUAACAAUUCUAAAGAAAUUAAUAGUUAAUGAAAAUGAUUUCAACAUGGCUAAAUCACGAGGAUCUGAAUUAUUAUUUGUCAUUUAAUACAGCCUCUAUUUUGAUAACCUGUCUGAACCAUUCUUAUCAUGCAAAAGAUCAAAUUAACUGUUAGAUAUAUAUUGAGAGAGAUUU